UACGAAGGGUGCAAGCGUUACUCGGAAUUACUGGGCGUAAAACGUGCGUAGGUGGUUCGUUAAGUCUGAUGUGAAAGCCCUGGGCUCAACCUGGGAAUGGCAUUGGAAACUGGCGACCUAGAGUGCGGUAGAGGGUAGUGGAAUUCCCGGUGUAGCAGUGAAAUGCGUAGAGAUCGGGAGGAACAUCUGUGGCGAAGGCGACUGCCUGGACCAGCACUGACACUGAGGCACGAAAGCGUGGGGAGCAAACGGG
RNAcentral lists this ribosomal RNA (253 nucleotides) under uncultured bacterium. Its description in RNAcentral is "partial 16S ribosomal RNA". It matches the Rfam family "Bacterial small subunit ribosomal RNA", at positions 524 to 776 of the family's 1533-position model. The record is from RNAcentral.